GACGGUGACGGCCACCUCCCCAGCAAGCUGCUCCUGUCCAUCUGCAUGGGAUGCAUCAAGGUGGCCAGGUGGCUGGCAAUUUUGAGUAUGGUCCAGUGGGUAGCAUCGAUGCGGAGCAGCGGAAGUCCUCCUUUGUCCGUGUGUAGCAGCAGGAUGGUAGCAAGGUGCUCAGGUCGCAGCCUUCAUCCAAGAAGAAACAGAAAAAGUUAUAUCCCUCUCUCCGUCUUGCUUAAAUUCAUUCUUCUCUCUUUCCGUAAGCACAAUUUGAGUGGAACACACACACCAAUUGAAAAUCAGAUUGAUUGUUGUGUUUGGUUGCCGGCAAGUAGGACAUCCGGUGGGAUGGCGUUCUGAAGAUGUUGACGGGCAGAUGUUGGCUCCUCAUUCUGAAUUCUUUUCUCGAAAAGAACAAACAAACUUCUUUUUAAUUUAUAAUUCUGAAUGUUGAAUGCUGAUUGAGGGUGUGCUGCAACUCGAUACUGGAUAGUUUACCCUAGUUUGGUAUGUAUAAUGGUGCUUUUAACUAUGUUUUGCUGUAACCUGGAGUUAGUCUUGUAUUUCUUAAUUUGCCUGGUAAGGAUAUAUAGCAGUAGCAUUAACAACAAUCCAAUUUCUGCAUGUCAUGUCUAUGUUAAUUACUACUGUGUUGUAGCAAGUCAAAGCGGCCUAGUUAUAUUCUGUUGUAUGCCUGCACAUCUAUUAGUUGUUAUUGCUACAAGCUUCUGAAGUACUAUUUGUAAAUCAAGAAGAAAUAUUGAGGAUCAGCUCGUAGUCGACCUUUAUAUUGUUACUUUGGUUGCAUACAUAAAUGGCCCAGCCUUAACAUCAAACCUUAGUACAUGAAUGGCAUGCAUACUGAUGGGAAGGUGAUUGCCGGACAACUUGCUUGAUUAAUUAUGCAUGCUCUAUUUUUUAUCUUAUAUUUUGCCUCACAUAUUGUUCUACAUUUCUUCCUUGAUAAAUAUUUAGGACAUUGAUAAGUUGUUAUCUCUCAACGGAAUUUUUGCUACUGGUUGGACUGCCUGUAUCGAUUAUUUUGUUAAAAAGAUUACAUCUUGACAUUUAGGUGGACACUUAGAUCCUUAUUUAUUUUUUUAUUUUGUUUCAUGGGAGCACAAUUGCAGCUCUAGUUGUUCAUGUUCUAUGCACACGUGCAGGACCUCCUAAUAUCCCAGUGAGGAAUAAUAGCUGAAACUUUUUUUUAUGCUUCUUAUUCUAAUUUUUUAAGCUUCUGAAACUUUUGAACACACUAGUUGGUUCAUUCUGCUAUAAAUAAAUCAUGAAACAUUAGUAUGCUAACAUUUGUAACAUUCUCUGGCUAUGUCUUCUUUAACAUACUAAAUGAUUGACCGGACUAAAAUUAUGUUGGUUGCUGAUCCAUGUAUUCCUGGUCUCUUUGUAUAUAUUGCGGCUAACAAUGUUGUGCUACGGAGUACAAAGUUCAACUAUUAUUUAUUAGAACAAACUCUGAACCGUCUAUGAAAUGCACAAGAAAUCUUGCGAAAAAUGUUUCCUUUUGCAUAGGCAGUAGAGAAAGUGUGCACGUAUUGGUAGAUGAAAAUUCAUUUCACUAAAGCAAAGCCUCUUGUUUGGAUAUGCAGGUCCAUGUUUGCUGCACAAUCUGCAUGGCAUGCAUCAAGGCGGCCAGGUGGCCGUCAAUUUCUAGCAGGGUCCAGAGGGUAACAUGGAUGCGGAGCAGCAGGCGUCCUCCUUUAUCCGUGUGUACCAGCUUGCCAGUAGCGAGGUACUCAGGUCACAGCCUUAAUCCUAGAAGAAACGGGAAAAGGUAUACCGGUCUCUCCCUCUUGGUUAAAUUUAUUAUUCUCUCUCUUCAUGAUAACAAUUUGUGUCAAACACACGCAUUAGUUAAAAAUCAGAUUGAUUGUUGUGUUUGCUUGCCGGCAAGUAGGAUGGCCGGUCUGAUGGUGUUAUGAAGAUGUUGACCAGCUGACUCUGGCUCCUAAAUCUAAAUUCUUUUAUCAAAGAGAAGAAACAAACUUAUUUUUAAAUUAUAAUGCUGAAUGUUGAAUUCUGAUUGUGGUGUGCUUCUAGCCUGCAACUCCAGACUAGAUAGUUUACUGCAGUUUGGUCUGUAGAACGGUGCUUUUAACUCUGUUUUGCUGUAACGUGGAGUUAGUCUUGUAUUUCUUGAUUUGCCAGGUGAGGUAUAUAGCAAGAGCAUUAACAACAUAUCCAGUUUCUGCACAUCAUAUCUAUGUAAUUACUAUGCUGUAGCGACCUUGUUAUAUUCUACCGUAUGCCUGCACAUCGAUUUAGCUUCUAUUUCUACAAGCUUUUGAGAGUGAACCAACAUAUUGUAGCGAGAUGCUCAGGUUGCAGCCUUCAUACAAGAAGAAACAGAAAAAGUUAUAUCCCUCUCUCUGUCUUGCUUAAAUUCAUUAUUCUCUCUUUUCGUAAGCACAACUUGAGUGAAACACACUCUCUCACACCCACACCAAUUCAAAAUCAGACUGAUUGUUGUGUUUGGUUGCCGGCAAGUAGGACGUCCGGUCGGAUAGCGUUCUGAAGAUGUUGACCGGCUGCCGCAGGCUCCUCAUUCUGAAUUCUUUUCUCGAAAAGAACAAACAAACUUCUUUUUAAUUUAUAAUUCUGAAUGUUAAAUGCUGAUUGAGGGUGUGCUGCAACUCGAGACUGGAUAGCUUACCAUAGUUUGGUAUGUAGAAUGGUGCUUUUAACUUCGUUUUGCUGUAACCUGGAGUUAGUCUUGUAUUUCUUGAUUUGCCUGGUAUGGGUAUAUAGCAGAAGCAUUAACAAGAAUUCAGUUUCUGCAUGUCAUGUCUUUGUUAAUUACUAGUAUGUUGUAGCAAGUCAAAAGCGGCCUUGUUAUAU
Lolium rigidum is the source of this 2850-nucleotide long non-coding RNA. RefSeq lists it as uncharacterized. The record is from RefSeq and is a predicted model, not a curated record. The transcript has 3 exons. NCBI's taxonomy places the organism in Eukaryota, Viridiplantae, Streptophyta, Magnoliopsida, Poales, Poaceae.